UGCAACCCGACUCCGUGAAGCUGGAUUCGCUAGUAAUCGCGCAUCAGCCAUGGCGCGGUGAAUACGUUCCCGGGCCUUGUACACACCGCCCGUCAAGCCAUGGAAGCCGGGGCGCUUGAAGUGCGUUGCCGCAAGGCGCGCCCUAGAGCGAAACCGGUGACUGGGGCUAAGUCGUAACAAGGUAAC
RNAcentral lists this ribosomal RNA (186 nucleotides) under uncultured bacterium. RNAcentral's name for it is "partial 16S ribosomal RNA". It matches the Rfam family "Bacterial small subunit ribosomal RNA", at positions 1306 to 1500 of the family's 1533-position model. The record is from RNAcentral.